AUGGGUAAAAAAUUUAUGUAACCUAACUUUUCGUAUUUUGGGCAUAAUUUCUAAUAAACUAUACUUUCCUAUAUUUAGGAGUUUUGUCUUUCCUCACCAAAUUCUCAUUAAUCAUAAUUCAAGGAAUCAUACGUUUUUCUUUUUCCAAAAUCAACAAUCAAUUUGAUCAACUUCCCAAAUCUCUCUCCAAUUCCAUUUACAAUAUAAGUCUUUGAAUCGAUAUCAGCCAUGUCUGUAAUUUUACCCCCCUCAACCCUUCCUAUAGUCUUCUUUAUUCCUCAAGUAUUCUUCACAUUUAUAAGAAAAAAUUUGCAAUUUGCAAAUAUCAAUCUCAUUCAUGCCAAUCCUCAGUACAAAUUGAGCUCUCAACUUUAUUCAUCUAUUCUGAUUUCUGAGGUUGGGUUUUCGAGUGCUUGGAUAAAGAUCACUUAUUCACUUACCUCAUGAUAUCAUAGAUCCAACAUGAAGUUCGUUUAAAAUGGAGGAGGUCCAGAGAUUGUUUCACAUCAUAAAAGAUUGUGUCCACCCUGAUCCACGAGACAGACCGAUUAUGAAAAAAUGUUGUUGCACGUUUAAGAGAGAUAACAGAAGAAGACUCACUUGAAUACCGACUUAAAAUCUGCUAGUCUUCUAUUAUCAUUGGCAGAUUACAGCAAUGGUAAUAUCCUGCGAAUUGCAGCUCUGAAUUGAACACCCCACCACAUGUGUUGUGUGAGACCGAGUAACAUAUUUGGUUAUCUUAUGGGCCAAGUAUCAUGCAGCACGGGUGUGAGAUUAUCAUUGAUGUAACUCACAGAAAAGGUUUGAUGUUCCUGAGAAGCUGCUUUGUGGCUCUACCUGCAUUUUGGUGAUCUCAGGAUUUUGCUGACUGGAGUAGUGUCACACCAGCUCAAGGACAACCUUGUUGAAAGAUGGUUUAUACUUGCUAGCCUCCAUAAAGUCAUGAAUUGAGUGUAUUAUUGGAGCAAAACUAAUUAUUGAUUAUCUCUCUGCACAGAAACAGGUUUCAGUGCUAUUUCCCCUGCCUUCUUCCGGGGAACUGGAAAGUCCUUCAACAAGGUUCAUUUAGAUAUAUCUAAAUGGCUGACAUUGAUGGUAAUCUUGUCAACCCAGAACAUAUAAUCCCACAAACCCUGUAGAAGAAGAUGAAAUUCGAGGAAAUGAUAAUUUGGAAAACAGAAGAAGAAGGAAGAGGACAGCAUGGUGUUGGGAUGAGCUAGAGGAGAAGGUCAUAAAAGGUGUAAAAAAAAGUUGUUUGUAUGCAUUGUAAGACUCCUUUGACCAUCAAUCCUACUGGUUGCACCACUCAUUUAACUAGACAUUUGGAGAAAUGCAUGAAAAGAAAAAUAUAUAUGAAUAGUCAACAAAAAUUGAAUUUUCAGCCACAAAGAUCUAAUCUUGAUGAUAAUUUUAUGGGGCCUAUUUUAAUUGAUAUGAAAGGGAAGUAUGAUCAUUUUAAAAUGAGGAAAGGAGUUUCUCACUUUGUAUUAAUGGGUGAGCAUGCAUUAAAUAUUGUUGAAGAAGUUGGGUUUAAUUUCAUGAUGAAACUUUUAAACCCCUCAUAUGAAAGGAUAACUCAGAAGGCUAUAAAAAAAAGAGGGUAUGAGUGUUUAUGAGGAUAAGAGGAAUAAAUUAAAGAACUUGUUGCAAAAUGUUAGCAACAUUUUCAUAACUGCAGAUAUAUGUGGAAAUCUAGGCCUCAAAAAAUAGAGUACAUGGUGAUAACUGGUCAUUUUAUUGAUUCUAGCUGGAAAUUGCAAAAGAGAGUGCUUAGUUUUGUUCAUGUUCCCCAUCGACGUCGUGGUGUUGACAUAGCUGAUGCCAUUCACAAGUAUUUAUUAGAGUGGGAAAUUGAGAAUAAAGUGCAAACUAUUACAGUUGAUAAUGCAUCAUACAAUGAUACAUGCUUAAGGAAAUUAAAAGGUAUUUUUUCAAGAACAAGAAAGUUACUCGCUGGAGGAGAAUUAUUUCAUGUGAGAUGUUGUGCUCAUAUAGUGAACUUGUUGGUGCAAGACGGUUUAAGUCAGAUAGAGGAUAUCAUAGAUGAUGUUCGGGAAAGUGUUAAGUUUGUUAACCACUCUGAAUCAAGGCUCCAAACAUUUACAAAUAUUGUACAACAAUUGCAAUUGUGUGGAAGACAAUUAGUUAUUGAUUGCCCCAUACGUUGGAACUCGACUUAUGAGAUGUUAUACCUUGCUUUACAAUUUAAGGAGGCCUUUGCAGAAUAUAAAGAGAGAGACAAUCAAUACACAUGUUUGCCUAGUGAGGAAUCUUGAGAGAAAGUAGAAUUAAUAUGUGAAGUUUUGGAAGUGUUUAAUGUUGUUACUCAUAUUAUUUAUGGGAGUGAUUAUCCAACAGCAAAUUUAUAUCUCCCUCAAGUUUAUAACAUCAAGUUGUUGUUGGAUGAAAAAGCAUUUAGUGAGAAUGAUUUUAUUAGGAGAAUGAGUUUCGAGAUGAAAAAGAAAUUUGAUAAAUAUUGGGGUGAGGUAAAUAUGUUGAUGGUGAUUGCUUCUAUUCUGGAUCCAAGGUGCAAAAUGAAGUUGGUUGAAUUUUCUUUUAAUCAAAUUUAUCCAGGACAGGAAGGUAAAACACAUAUCAAGAGAGCUCAAGAAUUGUUAUACAGUGUUUAUGGCGAGUAUGUUGCAUCUAUGAAUGCUGAAAGUUCAGAUCAGAGUCCAAUUCUUCCAACUAGUCAAUCAAAUUAUGAAAACAGUAUGCACACUCAGUCUAAAGUUUCUGGUUGGAAAAAAUAUCAAGACGAAGUGAGAAGGACACAAAGUAUCCCGGCUUUGAAAUCUGAUAUUGAUGUGUACUUGGAGGAAGACGUUCAUAUAUGCGAGUUGGAAGGGACUUCUUGCUUUGAUGUAUUAGAUUGGUGGAGAACAAAUAACAUGAAGUAUAAGAUUUUGUCCAGAAUGGCUGUUGAGAUUCUUGUUAUCCCCGUAUCUUCAGUAGCUUCAGAGUGUACGUUUAGCGCUGGCGGCAGAGUUAUAGAUCCACAUCGUGCUUCCUUAGCUCCUGAAAUAGUCCAAGCUUUAAUUUGUGGUGGAGAUUGGUUGCGUUCAUGGAGUCAAGAAGGUUAAGAAGCCCAGCAAGGUUAUUCAAAUAUCACUCCCACUUGAUCCUUGAUUACAAGAUUGGGCAUUGGAUUGAACUUAUGACGGGCCCAUGUUGUUGGGAAUUUCAUUUGAAAGCUUGUUGCCGUGAAGUAUGGAGUAAUGAACCUGAUGCAAAAAUAAAGGAGCUUAGCCUAAUGAAUUUUAUUUAUUUCACUUUAUUAGUUAUGUUAGUAUAACUUAUUUUGAAGAUAUUUUGCUCGUAUUUUGUCAGAAUUAUCAAAUAUGAAAACAUUUAUUAUCAUGUUUGAAUAUUUUACAUUAAAGUGUUAAACAUUGAUAUAACAAUUUAUAAGUUUGUUAAUUAGGCUCAAACAU
Spinacia oleracea (spinach) is the source of this 3434-nucleotide long non-coding RNA. RefSeq lists it as uncharacterized. The transcript has 6 exons. Lineage: Eukaryota; Viridiplantae; Streptophyta; Magnoliopsida; Caryophyllales; Amaranthaceae. The record is from RefSeq and is a predicted model, not a curated record.